ACACGGACCAAGGAGUGCAACAUGCGUGCGAGUCCCGGGGUGGCAAACCCGUCGGCGCAAUGAAAGUGAAGGCAGCGCUCUGAGGCCUGCUGUGGCGAGAGCCGCCCCCGUGCGGCGCAUCGUCGACCGAUCCCUGUGCCACGCUGUGGUGGGAUUUGAGUGAGAGCGUGCCUGUUGCGACCCGAAAGAUGGUGAACUAUGCCUGAAUAGGGUGAAGCCAGGGGAAACGCUGGUGGAAGCUCGCAGCGAUUCUGACGUGCAAAUCGAUCGUCAAAUUUGGGUAUAGGGGCGAAAGACUAAUCGAACCGUCUAGUAGCUGGUUCCCUCCGAAGUUUCCCUCAGGAUAGCUGGAGCCCGGUGCAGUUUUAUCAGGUAAAGCGAAUGAUUAGAGGUCUCGGGGCUGAAACGGCCUCGACCUAUUCUCAAACUUUAAAUGGGUAAGAGGCCCGGCUUGCUCGGUUGAAGUCGGGCGCUGGAAUGCCGGGGCUCCCAGUGGGCCAUUUUUGGUAAGCAGAACUGGCGAUGUGGGAUGAACCGAAAGCCGGGUUAAGGUGCCGGAAUCGACGCUCAUGAGAUCCCAUGAAAGGUGUUGGUUGAUACAGACAGCAGGACGGUGGCCAUGGAAGUCGGAACCCGCUAAGGAGUGUGUAACAACU
RNAcentral lists this ribosomal RNA (656 nucleotides) under Phorbas punctatus. RNAcentral describes it as "eukaryotic LSU rRNA". It matches the Rfam family "Eukaryotic large subunit ribosomal RNA", at positions 659 to 1290 of the family's 3401-position model. The record is from RNAcentral. Lineage: Eukaryota; Metazoa; Porifera; Demospongiae; Poecilosclerida; Hymedesmiidae.